UACGUAGGGGCCGAGCGUUGUCCGGAGUUACUGGGCGUAAAGCGCGCGUAGGCGGCUUUGCAAGUCGGGUGUGAAAUCCCCAGGCUUAACCUGGGAACUGCAUUCGAGACUGCAUUGCUAGAGUAUGGGAGAGGGAAGUGGAAUUUCCGGUGUAGCGGUGAAAUGCGUAGAUAUCGGAAGGAACAUCAGUGGCGAAAGCGACUUCCUGGACCAAUACUGACGCUCAUGUGCGAAAGCGUGGGGAGCAAACAGG
This 253-nucleotide ribosomal RNA is filed under the name uncultured bacterium. Its description in RNAcentral is "partial 16S ribosomal RNA". It matches the Rfam family "Bacterial small subunit ribosomal RNA", at positions 524 to 776 of the family's 1533-position model. The record is from RNAcentral.